GCCAGGGCCCGCGGAGGGGGGGUGGGAACGCUGUGGGAAGAGGGCCAUUUCCUGCCAGGGGUCUUUCUGUUUUCUCUCCCAAACAGGAAGUUGGCCCCAGAAGAGGCUGAAAUGCUGCCCUUUGACCCCCCAAGAACCAGGCCCUCACUGACAACUGCCCUGUGAGCCGCCUCCCCAGGCCCCAGGCGGACCUGCCAUCCACAGACACAGAGCAGAGCCGCCGGCGCAGGGGGCUCCCCCAGACUCCGUGGCACCUCCAGCCCGAGUGUGGAGCGGGGGCCCCGUUCCCGCCCCCGUCUGUGGGCAAGGCCGCUCCUUAGAAUGUCCGCAAGGCGAGGGUCUGGCCUCCCACUUCACUGUCCAGGGAAAAACCGAAGGCUCGGGUGGGGAGACAGCCACAGCCCACAGGGCUGGAAGAUUCUCUAGGCCUGGAGCACGCUGCCUCUCUGCUCACAGCUCUCGCGUCCCCUUGUUCAUGGGGGCGGCAGUGGCCAACAGAAGUGCCCACUUUGGCUCCUGUGAUGCUUUACAGUCGUUAUGACACGCAUUGCUAAUAUCAGUAAUGGGGAGUUUCUCCGGAAAAUGCAGGUUUCCUUGUCGUGAGGGGUCAGCACGUUGGCCCAGGCUGGGUUCACGCUCCCGUGUGGUCGUGGCCCCCGGGCGGACAGGCAGGUGCUGCCCGAAAUGGGGCACAGGCACCUCGGUAGGUGCAGCCUUACUCUGCAUGCGCCUCGUUACGGGCACUACCGCCUCUUCCUUCUUUCGACCAAGGAUGCCGAGCCUCAGAGGGAGCAAGUUACUAGCCCAAGGCCGCACGGCUCGCUGGUGGGGAGGCUGGCAUUCCAGGUCAGGUGGAUCUGCGGCCAGAGCCCGAGCUCCUGACGACGGGGUUCCUGCCCCCCACCCCUCCAAGGCAGGGCCCCUGCCCUCCGCUGCAGCCCCACCACCCUCCACUGGGCCAAAGACCCUGCAGCUGCAGUCCUGUUGCGCUCCCUACUGCCACCAGAGUUGCCCGCUCGACCGUCAGAGUCCCACCGGCCCUUCCAAGCUCGGCUUGCUUGGCUUGGUUCAUUCCUCGAGUGGUAGCGGGCUGCGCGCUUGUCCGCUGCUGCGGUCCCACCAGAUGCUCCUGGAGGCCGGAGAGUCCUGCUGGCAGCCGGCAAGGGACCAUUAAUUUUUUUAUGGACGGUCAAACCCAGAUAAAGUGGAAAGGCUACCGCAUGGCUGAUCCCAAAACAGUAACCAAGGCGCCAGGGACGACAUCUGGGGGUCGG
RNAcentral lists this long non-coding RNA (1274 nucleotides) under Ursus maritimus (polar bear). RNAcentral's name for it is "lncRNA (ENSUMAG00000021683.1)". The record is from RNAcentral. Lineage: Eukaryota; Metazoa; Chordata; Mammalia; Carnivora; Ursidae.